ACGGGAGGCAGCAGUGGGGAAUAUUGGGCAAUGGGGGCAACCCUGACCCAGCAACGCCGCGUGAAGGAAGAAGGCUUUCGGGUUGUAAACUUCUUUUACCAGGGACGAAGGACGUGACGGUACCUGGAGAAAAAGCCACGGCUAACUACGUGCCAGCAGCCGCGGUAAUACGUAGGGAGCGAGCGUUGUCCGGAAUUACUGGGUGUAAAGGGAGCGUAGGCGGGAUUGCAAGUCAGAUGUGAAAUACAGGGGCUCAACCUCUGGGCUGCAUUUGAAACUGUAGUUCUUGAGUGAAGUAGAGGUAAGCGGAAUUCCUGGUGUAGCGGUGAAAUGCGUAGAUAUCAGGAGGAACACCGGUGGCGAAGGCGGCUUACUGGGCUUUUACUGACGCUGAGGCUCGAAAGCGUGGGGAGCAAACAGGAUUAGAUACCCUGGUA
RNAcentral lists this ribosomal RNA (437 nucleotides) under uncultured Ruminococcus sp. Its description in RNAcentral is "bacterial SSU rRNA". It matches the Rfam family "Bacterial small subunit ribosomal RNA", at positions 341 to 792 of the family's 1533-position model. Lineage: Bacteria; Bacillati; Bacillota; Clostridia; Eubacteriales; Oscillospiraceae. The record is from RNAcentral.